Molecule: ribosomal RNA, 301 nt
Filed under: uncultured bacterium
Lineage: Bacteria
Description: partial 16S ribosomal RNA
Rfam family: Bacterial small subunit ribosomal RNA
Source: RNAcentral
CAGCCGCCGCGGUAAUACGUAGGGGGCGAGCGUUGUCCGAAGUUACUGGGCGUAAAGCGCGCGUGGGCGGCUUCUUAAGUCUGAGGUGAAAGGUUCAACGCUUAACGUGAACAGUGCCUUGGAUACUGGGGAGCUUGAGUAUGGGAGAGGGCAGUGGAAUGGCUGGUGUAGCGGUGAAAUGCGUAGAUAUCAGUCGGAACACCCAUGGCGAAGGCAGCUGCCUGGCCUAAUACUGACGCUGAGGUGCGAAAGCGUGGGGAGCGAACAGGAUUAGAUACCCGCGUAGUCCCUGUCUCUUAUA